UACGGGGGGGGCAAGCGUUGUUCGGAAUUACUGGGCGUAAAGGGCUCGUAGGCGGCCAACUAAGUCGGACGUGAAAUCCCUCAGCUUAACUGGGGAACUGCGUCCGAUACUGGAUGGCUUGGAUUUGGGAGAGGGAUGCGGAAUUCCAGGUGUAGCGGUGAAAUGCGUAGAUAUCGUAAGGAAGACCAGUGGCGAAGGCGGGUCUCUGGACAGUUCCUGACGCUGAGGCACGAAGGCCAGGGGAGCAAACGGG
RNAcentral lists this ribosomal RNA (253 nucleotides) under uncultured bacterium. RNAcentral's name for it is "partial 16S ribosomal RNA". It matches the Rfam family "Bacterial small subunit ribosomal RNA", at positions 524 to 776 of the family's 1533-position model. The record is from RNAcentral.